This 71-nucleotide transfer RNA is filed under the name Loxodonta africana (African savanna elephant). It matches the Rfam family "tRNA". From Rfam's summary of the family: Transfer RNA (tRNA) molecules are approximately 80 nucleotides in length. Their secondary structure includes four short double-helical elements and three loops (D, anti-codon, and T loops). Further hydrogen bonds mediate the characteristic L-shaped molecular structure. tRNAs have two regions of fundamental functional importance: the anti-codon, which is responsible for specific mRNA codon recognition, and the 3' end, to which the tRNAs corresponding amino acid is attached (by aminoacyl-tRNA synthetases). tRNAs cope with the degeneracy of the genetic code in two manners: having more than one tRNA (with a specific anti-codon) for a particular amino acid; and 'wobble' base-pairing, i.e. permitting non-standard base-pairing at the 3rd anti-codon position. The record is from Rfam by way of RNAcentral. Lineage: Eukaryota; Metazoa; Chordata; Mammalia; Proboscidea; Elephantidae.
CCAUAGGUAGUUCAGUGGUAGAACUCUCGUCUUUCAUGCAGGAGGCAUGGGUUUGAUUCCCGGCCGAUGCA